UGAGUAAGCCAGAUGGUCGCGGGGUCGGCGCAAGCCGACCAUGAGGAAAGUCCGGGCUUCAUAGGGCAGGGUGCCGGGUAACUCCCGGUGGAGGCGACUCCAAGGAUAGUGCAACAGAAAUAAACUGCCAAAGGCGAAAGCCUUGGCGAUGGUGGAAAGGCAGGGUAAGAGCCUACCGGCGAUAUGGCGACAUAUCGGCCAUGUAAACCCCACCUGAAGCAACACCGUAUUGGCUCGUGUGAGAUUUAGUCUGCCCGACAUGCUCACACUUGGCGGUGGCUUGAGUUAUGUAGUAAUACAUAGCCUAGAUAGAUGAUCAUCUAAUACAGAACCCGGCUUACAGACUUGCUCAUUAU
RNAcentral lists this RNase P RNA (356 nucleotides) under Clostridia bacterium. RNAcentral's name for it is "RNase P RNA component class A". It matches the Rfam family "Bacterial RNase P class A". Rfam says of the family: Ribonuclease P (RNase P) is a ubiquitous endoribonuclease, found in archaea, bacteria and eukarya as well as chloroplasts and mitochondria. Its best characterised activity is the generation of mature 5'-ends of tRNAs by cleaving the 5'-leader elements of precursor-tRNAs. Cellular RNase Ps are ribonucleoproteins. Lineage: Bacteria; Bacillati; Bacillota; Clostridia. The record is from RNAcentral.